UGGGGAAUAUUGCGCAAUGGGCGAAAGCCUGACGCAGCGACGCCGCGUGGGUGAUGAAGGCCUUCGGGUCGUAAAACCCUGUCGGGUGGAACGAAUCUCCGUCUUGCCAAUACCGAGGCGGAUUGACGGUACCACCGAAGGAAGCCCCGGCUAACUACGUGCCAGCAGCCGCGGUAAUACGUAGGGGGCGAGCGUUGUUCGGAUUUACUGGGCGUAAAGAGCGCGUAGGUGGUUCGAUUAGUCGGAGGUGAAAUCCCUCGGCUCAACCGAGGAUCCGCGUCCGAUACUGUCGAACUUGAGUGCAGGAGAGGAGAGCGGAAUUCCCAGUGUAGCGGUGAAAUGCGUAGAUAUUGGGAGGAACACCGGUGGCGAAGGCGGCUCUCUGGACUGCUACUGACACUGAGGCGCGAAAGCUAGGGGAGCAAACGGG
This 430-nucleotide ribosomal RNA is filed under the name uncultured bacterium. Its description in RNAcentral is "bacterial SSU rRNA". It matches the Rfam family "Bacterial small subunit ribosomal RNA", at positions 355 to 776 of the family's 1533-position model. The record is from RNAcentral.